RNAcentral lists this ribosomal RNA (448 nucleotides) under uncultured Planctomycetota bacterium. RNAcentral's name for it is "bacterial SSU rRNA". It matches the Rfam family "Bacterial small subunit ribosomal RNA", at positions 217 to 656 of the family's 1533-position model. Lineage: Bacteria; Pseudomonadati; Planctomycetota. The record is from RNAcentral.
GCUUAGAGAGGGGUCAAUGUCCUAUCAGCUAGUUGGUAGGGUAAUGGCCUACCAAGGCGAAGACGGGUAGCCGGCCUGAGAGGGUGGUCGGCCACACUGGGACUGAGACACUGCCCAGACUCCUACGGGAGGCUGCAGUCGAGAAUCUUUCGCAAUGCCCGAAAGGGUGACGAAGCGACGCCGCGUGUGGGAAGAAGGCCUUCGGGUUGUAAACCACUGUCGGGAGUUAAGAAAUGUAAGGGUGCCAAUAGUAUCCUUACUUGACUAAGGCUCCGGAGGAAGCCACGGCUAACUCUGUGCCAGCAGCCGCGGUAAUACAGAGGCGGCAAGCGUUGCUCGGAAUUAUUGGGCGUAAAGAGCACGUAGGCGGCCUUGUAAGUCAGUUGUGAAAGCCUUCUGCUUAACGGAAGAACAGCAUCUGAUACUGCAAGGCUAGAGUGCGGAAGGG